Molecule: long non-coding RNA, 1029 nt
Organism: Pecten maximus
Lineage: Eukaryota; Metazoa; Mollusca; Bivalvia; Pectinida; Pectinidae
Exons: 5
Source: RefSeq, a predicted model, not a curated record
AGAAAUUCGUAUCUCAUGCGUAUAAGGCUUACAGACGAUAACGGGGAAAAUGACACUAGGCAAUGUUCGACUGACUCGGGUAGCGUUGGAUAUUUGCCCACAUCCUUUUCUCCGAUUGCCACGGAUGUUGCUAGGUAACAUAUUGAUAUGAUUGUACCAAACUAUUCUGAUGUGUCGAUAACGACUUAACCAUUAGAUAUUCCACUAUUGACAUCAGCCCAUAAACUUGAGAACACGGAUACUUCGGUAAAUAUUUACCGUGCAAUUGAGGAAGCCGUGCAUGAAAAACUACAAUAAUUGGAUGUUAAAUCAUUUUCAGUACCAGCCGUCCUACCUCGAGUAACAAAAGUCCAAUAAGAUGGAGAGGGAAAGAUCAAAUAUCCUGCUAAGCGACAGAGACAGUUGUGAAUGACCGUCCUUAAUGGCCGAGCGUGAGGCUCGAUCAUCGAGGAAAUCAUCCCGCGCUCAGGAUCACAAACCCGUACAUCUAGUUAUACAGAUAGAUUACUGAUAUGUCUGACCAGAGCAUGGACAAACGUUCAUCAUGUUUAAAUUAGCAGUCCUGGCUAGGUUCCCUGACUCUGACGUCACCGGGACAUAUUCAGUAAAAGACUCCUUUGAAAUUUAUGUUAACGGACAAGAAAUGUUUUCAAAACUCAGGUCUAAAGCAUUUCCAGAAGUCGAUGAGGUAUUGGAUGAUAUUCAAUAUACAUUCUGCAAAAACAUGAACAAAAGGCGUAGAUCCUCCCUAUGUACAGUUUUAUAGAUCAACAGACAGUAACAUCUGACGAGAAGCUACAGAAGUUGUGUAAACAGAAUAUCAUAUUAAGUGUAUUAUGAGCUUGCUUGUAAAAUCAAUAGUGUGGAGUAGCUUUCAGGGCCAUUAUACUCAGAAUGACUGUACCUAACCAAAAUCCCUGUACCAAGGCGGGUUAGUAUACGAUAUUGAGUGUCAAUAGCACUAUAGUCCGAAGUGUGUGUGUUUUAUACAGCUAAUGGUUUCUACAAUAAAAUAUCUGAAAAUGUUAA